RNAcentral lists this long non-coding RNA (796 nucleotides) under Ananas comosus (pineapple). RNAcentral describes it as "long non-coding RNA (ACOM_LNC030084)". Lineage: Eukaryota; Viridiplantae; Streptophyta; Magnoliopsida; Poales; Bromeliaceae. The record is from RNAcentral.
AUAUAUUUUAUUGUAACAGUUUUGGCCGUUGUGAUAAUGCAAAUUCUAUUGUCUAGUCAUUUAUUAUCAUAACAAUUAGGGAUGCAAACGGGGCGGAUCUGGGGCGGGAGCCCCGCCCCGCCUCCCAUCCCGACUACAAAAGCUCCGCCCGACCUCCCGCCCCGAAUUCGUGACGGGUUAAAAAAUAUAUCCCAUAAUCUGUCCCACCUCGUACCCCGCCAACUAAUAUUUUUUAUAAAAUUAUAAUAUUAUUAAUAUUUUAUAAAAUAUAAAAUAAUAAUUUUUAAUAAUAUUAUAUAUAUAAUUUAACAAUAUCAGUUAUAAAAAUAAAAAAUAUCAAUCACAAUUCAAAAUAAAAUUCAAAAGUUUCAAAUACAGAAGAGAGUACUAAGACUUAGUUUGGGAUUGAGGUCUAUUUAACGCUAUUAGAUAAAAUGGAGUUGAGGAAAAAGCAUAUAAGGGUAUGCUCGGAACGCAAUAUUACGUACGGAAACAAACAUAAUAUUUUUCCAACGUACUUUCUCACCGCACGUAACGCAAUCUCCCCGCAAUCCCAAACGAAGCCUAACUUAUUUGUAUUUUGAACUUUUUUUUGUAAAUACAUUAUUUUUUAAGAAUACUUUUUAAAAAUAUAAAUAAUUUUCGGGGUGGAUUCGGAGCGGGUCAUGACGGGACGGAUUCGGGACGGGUCAAAAUUUCUUCCGUUUUCUACUCCGAAUCCGUCUCGGAUCGUAAAAUUUACCCCGUUUUUCUCUCUGAAUUUGUUUAUUUUCUCCCAUUUACUAUCCUCGUUGGG